UACGGAGGGAGCUAGCGUUGUUCGGAAUUACUGGGCGUAAAGCGCACGUAGGCGGCGAUCUAAGUCAGAGGUGAAAGCCUGGAGCUCAACUCCAGAACUGCCUUUGAGACUGGAUUGCUAGAAUCCGGGAGAGGUGAGUGGAAUUCCGAGUGUAGAGGUGAAAUUCGUAGAUAUUCGGAAGAACACCAGUGGCGAAGGCGGCUCACUGGACCGGCAUUGACGCUGAGGUGCGAAAGCGUGGGGAGCAAACAGG
This 253-nucleotide ribosomal RNA is filed under the name uncultured bacterium. RNAcentral describes it as "partial 16S ribosomal RNA". It matches the Rfam family "Bacterial small subunit ribosomal RNA", at positions 524 to 776 of the family's 1533-position model. The record is from RNAcentral.